This 572-nucleotide ribosomal RNA is filed under the name Kurtiella bidentata. Its description in RNAcentral is "SSU rRNA". It matches the Rfam family "Eukaryotic small subunit ribosomal RNA", at positions 592 to 1163 of the family's 1831-position model. The record is from RNAcentral. Lineage: Eukaryota; Metazoa; Mollusca; Bivalvia; Galeommatida; Montacutidae.
CAAUAGCGUAUAUUAAAGUUGCUGCAGUUAAAAAGCUCGUAGUUGGAUCUCGGGUGUAGGCUUGCGGUCCGCCUCGCGGCGGUCACUGCUCGUCCUGACAGCCUAGCUUCGGUGUGUCCCUUGGUGCUCUUGAUUGAGUGUCUCGGGUGGCCGGAACGUUUACUUUGAUGAAAUUAGAGUGCUUAAAGCGUGGGCGUUUCGCCCGUAUAAUGGUGCAUGGAAUGAUAGAAUAGGACCUCGGUUCUAUUUUGUUGGUUUUCGGAACCAGAGGUAAUGAUUGAGAGGGACAGACGGGGGCAUUCGUAUUGCAGCGUUAGAGGUGAAAUUCUUGGAUCGUUGCAAGACGGCCGACAGCGAAAGCAUUUGCCAAGAAUGUUUUCCUUAAUCAAGAACGAAAGUCAGAGGCUCGAAGACGAUCAGAUACCGUCGUAGUUCUGACCAUAAACUAUGCCAACUGGCAAUCCGCCGGAGUUACUACAAUGACUCGGCGAGCAGCCCCCGGGAAACCAAAGUUUCUCGGUUCCGGGGGGAGUAUGGUUGCAAAGCUGAAACUUAAAGGAAUUGACGGAAGG